GGGUCAGUAGGUUGGUCGUGCCACCGGUACGUACUGGUCUCACUGAUUCCUCCUUCCUGAAGAACCGUAAUGCCAUUAAUUUGGUGUUGCGGGGAAACAGGACUGUUACUUUGAAAAAAUUAGAGUGUUUAGAGCAAGCUAACGCUUGAAUACAUUAGCAUGGAAUAAUGAAAUAGGACGAUCGAUCCUAUUUUGUUGGUUCCUAGGAUUGACGUA
RNAcentral lists this ribosomal RNA (216 nucleotides) under Glomeromycotina sp. RNAcentral describes it as "partial small subunit ribosomal RNA". The stretch from base 40 to 216 matches the Rfam family "Eukaryotic small subunit ribosomal RNA", at positions 686 to 864 of the family's 1831-position model. Lineage: Eukaryota; Fungi; Glomeromycota. The record is from RNAcentral.